GAUGAACGCUGGCGGCGUGCCUAAUACAUGCAAGUCGAGCGAAGAGAUGAGAAGUUUCUUCCUCUGACGUUUGCGGCGGACGGGUGAGUAACAUAUGUAACAUCUAUGUUUAAGACGGGGAUAACUUCGGGAAGACGGCGCUUAUACCAUAUAAUAUAUUGAACCGUAUGGUUCAAUAAUAAAAUGCGAUUUUACUGUUACUAAUUGGUGCUUCCGUGCCGUAGUAGCUAGUUGGUAAGGUAACGGAUUACCACGGCAACGCAGAGUAGCCGACCUGAGAGGGGGAUCGGCAAAACUGGAACGGAACAACGGCCCAGACUCCUACGGGAGGCAGAAGUAGGGAAUCUUGCGAAAUGGGCGAAAGCCGGACGAAGAAAGGCCGCGGGAGGGAGGAAGGUCUUCGGAUGUUAAAACUCUGUUAAAAGGGAAGAACAAAUGGGUAAGUAAAAAUGCACGUCGUGACGGUACCUAAUCAGAAAGCCACGGCUAACUACGUG
RNAcentral lists this ribosomal RNA (497 nucleotides) under uncultured bacterium. Its description in RNAcentral is "partial 16S ribosomal RNA". It matches the Rfam family "Bacterial small subunit ribosomal RNA", at positions 28 to 507 of the family's 1533-position model. The record is from RNAcentral.